UAGGAUUUCUUGGUAGCGGCGAGCGACCAGGAAUUAGCCCGACACCGAAUCCUGUACCAUCUUGGUAUUAGGAGUUGUGGUGGAUAGGAUUGUAUCUUUAACUGCUCAGUUGGCUUGAAAUUCGCUUGAAUGCGAUAUGUCCGUAGAGGGUGUCAGACCUGUUCAAGCUGAUAGGGCGGUUAUUGAUGCUUUCCAAUGAGUAGGAUUGUUUGGGAAUGCAGUCCAAAUUGGGUGGUAGAUUCCAUCUAAGGCUAAAUACUUGUCUGAGUCCGAUAGUAAACAAGUACCGUGAGGGAAAGUUGAAAAGAACUUUGAAGAGAGAGUUAAACAGCACGUGAAAUCGCUUAGAGGUAAACGAGUAGAGCCGAAGGUUGGUAUAUGGGGUUCAGCUAUUUCGAUGUCACAUGAAGUUGUAUAAAUCUGUUAAAGCUUGUGCUUCUGAAUUGUUGAUAUCUGAGUGGUGCACUUUCUGUAUAUCAAAUAUGCGACCAGUAUGAGGUUUUUCUGUCGUAGAGAUGAAGUUGACUUUAUCUUCGGAUUUGGUUUUAUAGCUUUCUGCAUGGUUGAACUUCAAACUGGUGAUCGUGACUAAUCGCCGCUGGUUGUUGGAUAUUUAUGCGUUGUGUGUGUAGACUCAUAAGAGGUUGCAUGUAUAAUGUGUUUAUGUCUGGUGAUCAGCUGAUUAGUGCAUAGUCAGCAUUGUUAUGUAGGCAGUCUACUUGUCCCGUCUUGAAACACGGACCAAGGAGUUUUUUAUACUUGCAAGUCAAAGGGUCGACCGAAACCCCACGGCGUAAUGAAAGUAAAAUAAGUUCUUCGGAGCUUAAAAUGCGACCUCGGUGGUAGCCCCACUGAGUGCAGCAUUGCCCUGUUCAAAGAUGUUCGCAUCUGAGCAGAGGUGGAGCAGGUAUGAAGAGACCCGAAAGAUGGUGAACUUUGGUUGUGCAGGUUGAAGCCAGAGGAAACUCUGGUGGAGGACCGAAGCAGUUCUGACGUGCAAAUCGAUUGUCAGACAUGACCAAAGGGGCGAAAGACUAAUCGAACCAUCUAGUAGCUGGUUCCCUCCGAAGUUUCCCUCAGGAUAGCUGGCGCUGGUAAACUAGUUAUAUCCGGUAAAGCGAAUGAUUAGAAGUACCGGGGUCGAAAUGAUCUCGACUUAUUCUCAAACUUUAAAUGGGUAUGAAGUGCUGCUUACUUUAUUGAAGUAGUACGACUAAUAACAGUGCUUAGUGGGCCAUUUUUGGUAAGCAGAACUGGCGAUGUGGGAUGAACCAAACAUCCAGUUAAGGUGCCUAAUUCAUGCUCAUGAGACACCACAAAAGGUGUUGGUUGAUAAAGACAGCAGGACGGUGGACAUGGAAGUUGUCAUCCGCUAAGGAGUGUGUAACAACUCACCUGCCGAAUCAACCAGCCCUGAAAAUGGAUGGCGCUGUAGCAUGGAACCUAUACUGGAUCGGCAUGGUAAGCUUAUUGCGAGAACGCCAUGUCGUGUAGGAGGGCGCUGUGGUAGUGUAGAAGCUACUGGCGUGAGCCAGGGUGGAACUGCCACGGGUGCAGAUCUUGGUAGUAGUAGCAAAAUUAUCAAAAGGAAUUACCCA
This 1598-nucleotide ribosomal RNA is filed under the name Nerpa fistulata. Its description in RNAcentral is "partial 28S ribosomal RNA". It matches the Rfam family "Eukaryotic large subunit ribosomal RNA", at positions 70 to 1494 of the family's 3401-position model. The record is from RNAcentral. Lineage: Eukaryota; Metazoa; Platyhelminthes; Tricladida; Bdellouridae.